RNAcentral lists this ribosomal RNA (459 nucleotides) under uncultured bacterium. Its description in RNAcentral is "partial 16S ribosomal RNA". It matches the Rfam family "Bacterial small subunit ribosomal RNA", at positions 338 to 795 of the family's 1533-position model. The record is from RNAcentral.
CCUACGGGAGACAGCAGUGAGGAAUAUUGGUCAAUGGGCGCGAGUCUGAACCAGCCAAGUCGCGUGAGGGAAGACGGUCCUAUGGAUUGUAAACCUCUUUUGUCGGGGAGCAAAAGACGCCACGCGUGGCGUUCCGAGAGUACCCGAAGAAAAAGCAUCGGCUAACUCCGUGCCAGCAGCCGCGGUAAUACGGAGGAUGCGAGCGUUAUCCGGAUUUAUUGGGUUUACAGGGUGCGCAGGCGGAAGAUCAAGUCAGCGGUAAAAUUGAGAGGCUCAACCUGUUCGAGCCGUUGAAACUGGUUUUCUUGAGUGAGUGAGAGGUAUGCGGAAUGCGUGGUGUAGCGGUGAAAUGCAUAGAUAUCACGCAGAACUCCGAUUGCGAAGGCAGCAUACCGGCGCUCAACUGACGCUCAUGCACGAAAGUGUGGGUAUCGAACAGGAUUAGAUACCCUAGUAGUC